UACAGAGGUCCCAAGCGUUGUUCGGAUUCACUGGGCGUAAAGGGUGCGUAGGUGGUCGGGUAAGUCUGAUGUGAAAUUUCCGAGCUCAACUCGGAAACUGCAUCGGAUACUAUUCGGCUCGAGGAUUGGAGGGGGGACUGGAAUACUUGGUGUAGCAGUGAAAUGCGUAGAUAUCAAGUGGAACACCAGUGGCGAAGGCGAGUCUCUGGACAUUUCCUGACGCUGAGGCACGAAAGCCAGGGGAGCAAACGGG
Molecule: ribosomal RNA, 253 nt
Filed under: uncultured bacterium
Lineage: Bacteria
Description: partial 16S ribosomal RNA
Rfam family: Bacterial small subunit ribosomal RNA
Source: RNAcentral